RNAcentral lists this ribosomal RNA (254 nucleotides) under uncultured prokaryote. Its description in RNAcentral is "partial 16S ribosomal RNA". It matches the Rfam family "Bacterial small subunit ribosomal RNA", at positions 522 to 774 of the family's 1533-position model. The record is from RNAcentral.
AACACGGGGGGAGCAAGCGUUGUUCGGAUUUACUGGGCGUAAAGGGCGCGUAGGCGGCCACCGCAAGUCAAUUGUGAAAUCUCCGGGCUUAACUCGGAAAGGUCAACUGAUACUGCGGGGCUAGAGUGCGGAAGGGGCAACUGGAAUUCUCGGUGUAGCGGUGAAAUGCGUAGAUAUCGAGAGGAACACCUGCGGCGAAGGCGGGUUGCUGGGCCGACACUGACGCUGAGGCGCGAAAGCUAGGGGAGCGAACA